AUAGGAGCGGUGAUGAGCAAUCUUUGUGGACUAGAGUUUCUGAUACUACGAAGGUAGUAUUUGACGACCAAACCCUUGGCUGUCUGAGCUCCCAA
RNAcentral lists this small nucleolar RNA (95 nucleotides) under Zea mays. Its description in RNAcentral is "Small nucleolar RNA Z157/R69/R10". It matches the Rfam family "Small nucleolar RNA Z157/R69/R10". From Rfam's summary of the family: Z157, R69 and R10 are members of the C/D class of snoRNA which contain the C (UGAUGA) and D (CUGA) box motifs. Lineage: Eukaryota; Viridiplantae; Streptophyta; Magnoliopsida; Poales; Poaceae. The record is from Rfam by way of RNAcentral.